AUCAUUCACAUCAGGCAAUGCUUCUUGUGAAAAGCAAACCCAGAACUGGUGUGUGUUUUUUAUAGGGCAGGGCAGCUGUAACCAACACCUCCAAUCUCAUCUCAUUGAUUGGACUCCAGUUGGCUGACAUCUCACUCCAAUUAGCUCUUGGAGAUGUCAUCAGUCUAGGGGUUCACAUACUUUUUCCACCUGCACUGUGAAUGUUUACAUGGGGUGUUCAAU
Pelobates cultripes (western spadefoot toad) is the source of this 222-nucleotide non-coding RNA. The record is from the annotation of a GenBank genome assembly. Lineage: Eukaryota; Metazoa; Chordata; Amphibia; Anura; Pelobatidae.